Molecule: ribosomal RNA, 254 nt
Filed under: uncultured bacterium
Lineage: Bacteria
Description: partial 16S ribosomal RNA
Rfam family: Bacterial small subunit ribosomal RNA
Source: RNAcentral
UACGUAGGGGGCGAGCGUUGUCCGGAUUUAUUGGGCGUAAAGAGCUCGUAGGCGGUUUGGCAAGUCGGGUGUGAAAACUCCGGGCUCAACUCGGAGACGCCACUCGAUACUGCUAUGACUCGAGUCCGGUAGGGGAGUGCGGAAUUCCUGGUGUAGCGGUGAAAUGCGCAGAUAUCAGGAGGAACACCGAUGGCGAAGGCAGGUCUCUGGGCCACUACUGACGCUGAGAAGCGAAAGCAUGGGGAGCGAACAGG